UAGGGAAUAUUGCAAAAUGGGCGAAAGCCCGAUGCAGCAACGCCGCGUGGGCGAUGAAGGCCUUCGGGUCGUAAAGCCCUUUUUGAGGGGAUGAGGAAGGACAGUACCCUCAGAAUAAGCCUCGGCUAACUACGUGCCAGCAGCCGCGGUAAAACGUAGGAGGCGAGCGUUAUCCGGAUUUACUGGGCGUAAAGCGCGUGCAGGCGGAUUGGAGAGUUGGAUGUGAAAGCUCCCGGCUUAACUGGGAGAGGUCGUUCAAUACUUCCAGUCUUGAGUGCAGUAGAGGGUAGUGGAAUUCCGGGUGUAGUGGUGAAAUGCGUAGAUAUCCGGAGGAACACCAGUGGCGAAAGCGGCUUCCUGGACUGUAACUGACGCUCAGACGCGAAAGCUAGGGUAGCAAACG
This 403-nucleotide ribosomal RNA is filed under the name uncultured bacterium. Its description in RNAcentral is "bacterial SSU rRNA". It matches the Rfam family "Bacterial small subunit ribosomal RNA", at positions 355 to 774 of the family's 1533-position model. The record is from RNAcentral.